GAUGAACGCUGGCGGCGUGCUUAACACAUGCAAGUCGAACGGACUUUAUUUCGGUAAAGUUAGUGGCGGACGGGUGAGUAACGCGUGGGUAACCUGCCUCACACUGGGGGGAUAACAGUUAGAAAUAGCUGCUAAUACCGCAUAUGCGCACGGGAUCGCAUGAUUCAGUGUGGAAAACUCCGGUGGUGUGAGAUGGACCCGCGUCUGAUUAGGUAGUUGGUGAGGUAACGGCUCACCAAGCCGACGAUCAGUAGCCGGCCUGAGAGGGUGAACGGCCACAUUGGGACUGAGACACGGCCCAA
Molecule: ribosomal RNA, 302 nt
Filed under: uncultured bacterium
Lineage: Bacteria
Description: bacterial SSU rRNA
Rfam family: Bacterial small subunit ribosomal RNA
Source: RNAcentral